UCCUUCACAUUUGAACAGCUCUUCAGGAUUUAUCACAUAUUCAGCCCAGCAAAGGAAGGGAAAUCGGACCCAGGAAGGGCAGCGGGGUUUCUCUCAGGCUUGGCGAGCAGAAAGGAACUGAAGCUUGGCAGGGAUAAGGACAAAUGGGAAGGGUGAGCUGCUUUGUUAUCCCUUCUCAAGGAGGAGGGGGCUGAAGCUCGGAGAGCAGGGAGCGUAAGUAGCCAGCCCUGCAUUAUGCAGCAGGAAGUGGCAGAGCAGGGGCCUGGGUCCUUCUGGUUUCCAGACCGUGCUCUGCAUCCUGCUGUGCUCUCAGGGGCUUAUAGUCUAGCAAGGCAAUCACGCUGAUCUUAGGAGGGCAAGACCUCCUAAGACUAUGCAGUUUCCUUCAUCCCUGGGCUGAGGGGCUGGGAGGUCUGCGGACUGAUCCUCACAGGCUUAGCCUCUAGAAUGGUACUGGGAGGCUGGGUGGAGGGGCAAGCAGCAUUCCAGACCUUCCAGACGGCUUCCUCGCUGAGAUGUGCCCCAGGGAGCUGUUUCUCCAUGGGCCUCAGGCAAAAAAAAAAACCCCAAAUCUAUUUAUUAUCAACGAAAGUAUUUCCCUGUGUUUUUUAAAGUCAAAGUAGGGAAAAAAAAUCAGCACAAUAAAUAUGAAGCUAAAGGAAAAUAAAAAAGGUAAAGCAGAUGUUUAUGGAAGUCAGGGUACAUGUCCUAAGGCAGAAGAAUUUUUCAGAAAAACUGAGAACUUUUUCUUUAAAAACAACUGAGCAAACCAAGCAAACAAAACAGAGUCACUGUCCUUUAUCAUGCAUAAUCUUGAUCUCUGAAGCGGCACAUUUAAGGCUUCUCUGCUCAGGUGCACCCUGAAUAUGGCUGGACAGCACUUCUAGUCACAAAAACAGGAUGUGGACCCAGAGUUGAACAAAACAGACAAGGUUCCUGACUUCGAGGAGCUAAUGGGGAUGAAGACCGUGAACAGCAACUAAACAAGAUGAACACACUGCUCGAGAUUACACAGCGAGGAAGAAGCAGAGCCGAGGAUAAAACCCAUAUCUUCUGGCCACAGUACAAGUUACUCUGCUAUAUCAUUAUGCUUUGAUCCUCUAAUUUUAGGGUCUUAGGGGAGCCCAAAGGGUGAAUUAACACAAGGCAUGGGAGGUAUCUGGGUGUAUGAGUAUCCAAUCCUCAAUGACCUGCCUCCACCUCCAACCUCAUUUCCUGCCAUCUGCUAACAGGAAUCCAAUGCUUUCACCAUGCCGAACUGACAGCUUCCAGACAUGCUCUUCUGUGCCUUCCAAUGUUUCCUUAUGUUGUUCCUCCAGCUGAGAAGGCCUUGCUCUACCUAGCCAUUCUCCAGGGCUCGGUACAAGCUUCUCUUUUGCUGUAGAGACUUCCUUAACCCAUCUGGAUAUGUUUGACCAUGCCCUCUUUCAUUGACAUCUCACUCGGCCCUACAUUUUUAUUAUACUCAUCUCAUGAUGUCAUUCUUAUGGUGGUGGCACCUAUAUCGUCCACUGGGCCAGGCAGUGGUCAAGACUGGAAAUCUCUGUGCUUUUAACCCCCAGCACAGUGCCUGGCACAUAGUAAGUGCUGAGGAAAUCCUUGAUGAAUGAGUAGAUGGUUGAGUUAACGAUGGAGAAGAAAACAUUCCUGAGCAGAGACCACCCCCACCCUUGAUCUUCUGGGAGAACUGCCUUUGUAGAAUAGGGAACAAAAAGGGCAGGCAUCAAAGGGAUACAAUGGGUAAAACAUUCUUUCCUGUUCUCUCUGGUUCCUUCCUUUUCAUUUUUCUUCUUGCUAUUGGAACAAAAAUGAAGAGUACAUCAUAAGCAAAGCUGUAUUUUCAGUUUAUUGCCACCAGGUUAAUAACAGUAAUGGUGCAGGAAGAAAAUGAGGUGUUAUGUAAAAUCCUGCAUUGCAGAUUUUGCUGCUGAUGUAAAGAACUCAAUAAAGUGUAACACUUUAAUCAUAGAGAUAAAAAUCACACAGCAGCUUUCCCACAGGCUCCAGGAGCCCAAGACAAAAUAGUUGUGGGGAAAUGAGAGAUGAGAGAAGAAUAUUAUCAGCCAUCGGAAAAAUUAUGUUUGGGCUUUUGUGUGUGUGUGUUUUUCCUUCAUCUCUAAAAAAUGGAAUAAGAUUUUUCUAUCUUCUUCUAAGACAUCUUGUAUGAAUUUCUGUAUUCUCUGGAGGCCAUACUCAGAUUUCUGGGGGAAGAUUUGCUCAUUCUUUGUAAAAAUUGAUUUGUUUAGGGAGAACUGAA
Molecule: long non-coding RNA, 2257 nt
Organism: Neofelis nebulosa (Clouded leopard)
Lineage: Eukaryota; Metazoa; Chordata; Mammalia; Carnivora; Felidae
Exons: 3
Source: RefSeq, a predicted model, not a curated record